RNAcentral lists this ribosomal RNA (497 nucleotides) under uncultured bacterium. Its description in RNAcentral is "partial 16S ribosomal RNA". It matches the Rfam family "Bacterial small subunit ribosomal RNA", at positions 28 to 507 of the family's 1533-position model. The record is from RNAcentral.
GAUGAACGCUGGCGGCGUGCCUAAUACAUGCAAGUCGAGCGAACGGACGAGAAGCUUGCUUCUCUGAUGUUAGCGGCGGACGGGUGAGUAACACGUGGAUAACCUACCUAUAAGACUGGGAUAACUUCGGGAAACCGGAGCUAAUACCGGAUAAUAUUUUGAACCGCAUGGUUCAAAAGUGAAAGACGGUCUUGCUGUCACUUAUAGAUGGAUCCGCGCUGCAUUAGCUAGUUGGUAAGGUAACGGCUUACCAAGGCAACGAUGCAUAGCCGACCUGAGAGGGUGAUCGGCCACGAUGGAACUGAGACACGGACCAGACUCCGACGGGAGGCAGCAGUAGGGAAUCUUCUGCAAUGGGCGAAAGCCUGACGGAGCAACGCCGCGUGAGUGAUGAAGGUCUUCGGAUCGUAAAACUCUGUUAUUAGGGAAGAACAUAUGUGUAAGUAACUGUGCACAUCUUGACGGUACCUAAUCAGAAAGCCACGGCUAACUACGUG